This 508-nucleotide ribosomal RNA is filed under the name uncultured bacterium. RNAcentral's name for it is "partial 16S ribosomal RNA". It matches the Rfam family "Bacterial small subunit ribosomal RNA", at positions 28 to 507 of the family's 1533-position model. The record is from RNAcentral.
GACGAACGCUGGCGGCGUGCCUAAUACAUGCAAGUCGAACGCUUCUUUCCUCCCGAGUGCCUGCACUCAAUUGGAAAGAGGAGUGGCGGACGGGUGAGUAACACGUGGGUAACCUACCCAUCAGAGGGGGAUAACACUUGGAAACAGGUGCUAAUACCGCAUAACAGUUUAUGCCGCAUGGCAUAAGAGUGAAAGGCGCUUUCGGGUGUCGCUGAUGGAUGGACCCGCGGUGCAUUAGCUAGUUGGUGAGGUAACGGCUCACCAAGGCCACGAUGCAUAGCCGACCUGAGAGGGUGAUCGGCCACACUGGGACUGAGACACGGCCCAGACUCCUACGGCAGGCAGCAGUAGGGAAUCUUCGGCAAUGGACGAAAGUCUGACCGAGCAACGCCGCGUGAGUGAAGAAGGUUUUCGGAUCGUAAAACUCUGUUGUUAGAGAAGAACAAGGACGUUAGUAACUGAACGUCCCCUGACGGUAUCUAACCAGAAAGCCACGGCUAACUACGUG